AUGCUGGGCUCGUCUGCAUGCACGCCUUGGAGGCAGAGCGGCCAGCUUCAGGCCUACCGGCUUCAGCAGUUUUUUUAUUUUUUAAAUGUAUUUGUUCGUUCUCUGAGCGCUGGUGCUGCAGGAGGCGGCGCGGCGGAUGUGACUCGCACUGCAGACGAGCCGCAUGCUGCAAACUUUUAUCUCCCGGAUCGCCGGGGCGGUGGAGCGGGGGACCCGGCGGCGCCGCCGCAUCUCCCUCCCCCCGCGUGCCGGGGCCGCAGCCCGUGGCCGAUGGCCACGCGGACAGGCAGCCACGGGUGGGGUGGGGUUGCCGGGGCGCCGCCCUGGACUUCCAGUGCCCCGGGGGCCGCGUCCUGGGGGACUCUGCGGGCGCAGCAGCUCCUCUGCCUCACGUCGUUAUCCUCUCGCCGUGGAAAGUUGUAUGGGAUGGUGCUGAAUGGUAAUUUCUUGGAAGUGUUCAAAGACUGGCUAAAUACUACUAUAAUGGCUAUCUUUUGCCACAAGCAGGCUGAUGUUGCCAUCAGAAGACUGGGUGAAAAAUGUGAUGGCGAGUGUGUGAUUUGUGACUCCUGUGUGUGUCCCUGCACUUUGAUGAUGUGAUGAGUGUAACUAUGGAUCUUACCAGGGGCACCGUGUGAUCCGUGGAGGUCUUGGAGUCUCUGGUGCCUAUUAUUGUAAGGAGUGCACCAUCCAGGAGAAGAACAGAGAUGGCUGCCCAAAGAUUGUCAAUCUGAGGAGCUCUAAGAUCUCUUCUAUGAACGCAAAAAAUAUGGCUUCAAGAAGAGGUGAUUGGUGGGUGGCCCCUUCCUCCCCCCCACAUCAAGCUGCUGCAGCUGCCAGAAAAGAUGCCUACUACUACCAGCAGAAAGGGAGCGGAGCCCAGAGCAUCACCAGGAGUGUCUGCUAGUGUACUGGCACUUGGCCACCUCCUCCUCUCCCUUCACCUAGACACGUGGUAGGGAUGGAAAAGGAUUCUUCACAGAGCACUCUGGCACACUGUAUCAGAGAAAAAUUGAUAGAUUAGUUAAUGGUUUUUCUUGAAUUCGAGAAGCAAAGAUCUGUUCUCUAUAUUGAUAUGUUCUCCCUCAACCAAGAUCUUCUAAAAAGAAGUAAUAUUUUAGUCUUUGCUUGAGGAGUUGACUGUGAAGCUACGCCCAGUGAAAAGUAUGUUCUUGCAGCAGCUCUGGUGGCAGCUGUCCUUGAGGAACCUUCGGUGUGUGGUGGGAAGCUAUCAGAAUAAGAAAUGUAGCCAUUUACUCUUUUAACACUUGUGCUGGUGUCAUGUUAUUUUCCUUCUGAGAAAUUGAAAAUUCUUUCUGUUGUUAUUAUUUUGAUAAAGGUGGUGUUUAUUUUC
Molecule: RNA transcript, 1354 nt
Organism: Cercocebus atys (sooty mangabey)
Lineage: Eukaryota; Metazoa; Chordata; Mammalia; Primates; Cercopithecidae
Exons: 3
Source: RefSeq, a predicted model, not a curated record